CCUACGGGUGGCAGCAGUCGGGAAUAUUGCGCAAUGGAGGAAACUCUGACGCAGUGACGCCGCGUGCAGGAAGAAGGUUUUCGGAUUGUAAACUGCUUUAGACAGGGAAGAAAAACGACAGUACCUGGAGAAUAAGCGCCGGCUAACUACGUGCCAGCAGCCGCGGUAAGACGUAGGGAGCAAGCGUUAUCCGGAUUUAGUGGGUGUACAGGGUGCGUAGACGGAGAAGCAAGGUAGUUGGGAACUCCCUCGGCUUAACUGAGGAACUGCAACUAAAACACCUGCCCUUGCGUACUGGAGAGGCAAGUGGACUUCCUCGUGUAGCGGUGAAAUGCGUCGAUAUUAGGAGGAACACCAGUGGCGAACGCGACUUUCUGGACAGUACCUGACGUUGUGGCACGAACGUGUGGGGAGCAAACAGGAUUAGAUACCCUUGUAGUC
RNAcentral lists this ribosomal RNA (441 nucleotides) under uncultured bacterium. Its description in RNAcentral is "partial 16S ribosomal RNA". It matches the Rfam family "Bacterial small subunit ribosomal RNA", at positions 338 to 795 of the family's 1533-position model. The record is from RNAcentral.